GAUGAACGCUAGCGGCGUGCCUAAUACAUGCAAGUCGAGCGAACAGAUAAGGAGCUUGCUCCUUUGAAGUUAGCGGCGGACGGGUGAGUAACACGUGGGUAACCUACCUAUAAGACUGGGAUAACUUCGGGAAACCGGUGCUAAUACCGGAUAACAUUUAGAACCGCAUGGUUCUAAAGUGAAAGAUGGUUUUGCUAUCACUUAUAGAUGGACCCGCGCCGUAUUAGCUAGUUGGUAAGGUAACGGCUUACCAAGGCGACGAUACGUAGCCGACCGGAGAGGGCGAGCGGCCACAAGGGAACUGAGACACGGUCCAGACUCCGACGGGAGGCAUCAGUAGGGAAUCUUCCGCAAUGGGCGAAAGCCUGACGGAGCAACGCCGCGUGAGUGAUGAAGGGUUUCGGCUCGUAAAACUCUGUUAUUAGGGAAGAACAAAUGUGUAAGUAACUGUGCACAUCUUGACGGUACCUAAUCAGAAAGCCACGGCUAACUACGUGCCAGCAGCCGCCGCCG
This 513-nucleotide ribosomal RNA is filed under the name uncultured bacterium. RNAcentral describes it as "partial 16S ribosomal RNA". It matches the Rfam family "Bacterial small subunit ribosomal RNA", at positions 28 to 523 of the family's 1533-position model. The record is from RNAcentral.